AUUCUAGUAGCUUAAUAAGAGCGUGAUACUGAAGAUAUCAAGGUGAUAAUUUUAUCUUAGGAUA
This 64-nucleotide transfer RNA is filed under the name Agrypnus sp. YD-2019. Its description in RNAcentral is "tRNA-Phe". Lineage: Eukaryota; Metazoa; Arthropoda; Insecta; Coleoptera; Elateridae. The record is from RNAcentral.